CCUACGGGAGACAGCAGUGAGGGAUAUUGGUCAAUGGGGGAAACCCUGAAGCAGCAACGCCGCGUGGGGGAAGACGGUUUUCGGCUCGUAAACCCCUGUCCUCUGUGAAGAAGAUGACGGUAGCAGAGGAGGAAGCCCCGGCUAACUACGUGCCAGCAGCCGCGGUAAUACGUAGGGAGCAAGCGUUGUCCGGAUUUACUGGGUGUAAAGGGUGCGCAGGCGGCUAUGCAAGCCAGAAGUGAAAUCCAUGGGCUUAACCCAGGGACUGCUUUUGAAACUGCAGGGCUUGAGGAGAGGAGGGGUAGGCGGAAUUCCCGGUGUAGCGGUGAAAUGCGUAGAGAUCGGGAGGAACACCAGUGGCGAAGGCGGCCUGCUGGGCUCUGACUGACGCUGAGGCACGAAGGCGUGGGUAGCAAACAGGAUUAGAUACCCUUGUAGUC
RNAcentral lists this ribosomal RNA (440 nucleotides) under uncultured bacterium. RNAcentral's name for it is "partial 16S ribosomal RNA". It matches the Rfam family "Bacterial small subunit ribosomal RNA", at positions 338 to 795 of the family's 1533-position model. The record is from RNAcentral.